UACGUAGGGGGCAAGCGUUGUCCGGAAUCAUUGGGCGUAAAGAGCGUGUAGGCGGCCCGGUAAGUCCGCUGUGAAAGUCCAGGGCUCAACCCUGGGAUGCCGGUGGAUACUGUCGGGCUCGAGUCCGGAAGAGGAGUGUGGAAUUCCUGGUGUAGCGGUGAAAUGCGCAGAUUUCAGGAGGAACACCAAUGGCGAAGGCAGCACUCUGGGACGUGACUGACGCUGAGACGCGAAAGCGUGGGGAGCAAACAGG
This 253-nucleotide ribosomal RNA is filed under the name uncultured bacterium. RNAcentral describes it as "partial 16S ribosomal RNA". It matches the Rfam family "Bacterial small subunit ribosomal RNA", at positions 524 to 776 of the family's 1533-position model. The record is from RNAcentral.